Molecule: long non-coding RNA, 572 nt
Organism: Boleophthalmus pectinirostris (great blue-spotted mudskipper)
Lineage: Eukaryota; Metazoa; Chordata; Actinopteri; Gobiiformes; Gobiidae
Exons: 3
Source: RefSeq, a predicted model, not a curated record
UUUGAACACAGCUGUAGUUUGAACACGGCUGUAGUCUGAACAUGGCUACAGCGUGCAUGUUUUGUCUCGUGUUUUCGUAUUGGACUUUACCAGCUCAUGUCGACUCUCCUCCAGUGCCAGAGAAAAUCAGCACCCCAUUUAAACUGGAACUUCCCUGCCAGGCCCCUGAAGGUGAAGUUGUGAUCCUUGAAUGGAAACUGAAGGGUAAAGACAGAUAUGUCCUUUUGUACAGAGACGGCAAAGUGCGACAUAAUGAGCCAAAACCCAUUUUUCUCAAAACGAGUGGAACUCAAAGAUUCACAUUUAAAAUCUGGAGAUCUCAGUGUGAUCCUGAAGAACAUUACCUCAAUGGACAGUGGGAUGUACACGUGUGAGGCUAAAAUUUCUUCACAUGAAAAAAAGAAAAUCUCCCAUGAAAUGAAUGUGACAGUGACAGAAGCAGAUGAGCUGUUUGUGAAUCAGUCUGGAGUGGUUGAGCUGCCAUGUUCGUCUCCAGGGGGCGCCACAGUUCAUAAUCUAAAUUGGACUCUGCAGGAUCAGGAAGGGAAAGAGCAUCACCUCCUUCACUUCAG